GCGCCUGUAGCUCAAUAGGAUAGAGCAUCUGCCUUCUAAGCAGAGGGUUGCGCGUUCAAGUCGCGCCAGGCGCA
RNAcentral lists this transfer RNA (74 nucleotides) under bacterium. RNAcentral describes it as "tRNA-Arg". It matches the Rfam family "tRNA". From Rfam's summary of the family: Transfer RNA (tRNA) molecules are approximately 80 nucleotides in length. Their secondary structure includes four short double-helical elements and three loops (D, anti-codon, and T loops). RNAcentral also lists the same sequence under 1 other name. The record is from RNAcentral.